AGAGGAGCUUGCUCCUCAGAACAGUGGCGGACGGGUGAGUAACACGUGAGCAACCUGGCUCUAAGAGGGGGACAACAGUUGGAAACGACUGCUAAUACCGCAUAACGUAUCGGGAUGGCAUCUUCCUGAUACCAAAGAUUUUAUCGCUUAGAGAUGGGCUCGCGUCUGAUUAGAUAGUUGGCGGGGUAACGGCCCACCAAGUCGACGAUCAGUAGCCGGACUGAGAGGUUGAACGGCCACAUUGGGACUGAGACACGGCCCAGACUCCUACGGGAGGCAGCAGUGGGGGAUAUUGGACAAUGGGGGCAACCCUGAUCCAGCGACGCCGCGUGAGGGAAGAAGGUUUUCGGAUUGUAAACCUCUGUUGACGGAGAAAAAAAUGAUGGUAUCCGUUUAGAAAGCCACGGCUAACUACGUGCCAGCAGCCGCGGUAAUACGUAGGUGGCAAGCGUUGUCCGGAAUUACUGGGUGUAAAGGGAGUGUAGGCGGGAUGUCAAGUCAGAAGUGAAAAUUACGGGCUCAACUCGUAACCUGCUUUUGAAACUGACAUUCUUGAGUGAAGUAGAGGCAAGCGGAAUUCCUAGUGUAGCGGUGAAAUGCGUAGAUAUUAG
Molecule: ribosomal RNA, 611 nt
Filed under: uncultured bacterium
Lineage: Bacteria
Description: bacterial SSU rRNA
Rfam family: Bacterial small subunit ribosomal RNA
Source: RNAcentral